Molecule: ribosomal RNA, 371 nt
Filed under: uncultured eukaryote
Lineage: Eukaryota
Description: partial 18S ribosomal RNA
Rfam family: Eukaryotic small subunit ribosomal RNA
Source: RNAcentral
CAAUAGCGUAUAUUAAAGUUGUUGCAGUUAAAAAGCUCGUAGUUGGACUUGUGGUGGUCUUUGGGGUCCGAUUUCGGUACUCUCGGGGACUGCCAUCUUUGGGUGGAUCCUGUGUGGCAUUAGGUUGUCGUGCAGGGGAUGCCCAUCGUUUACUGUGAAAAAAUUAGAGUGUUCAAAGCAGGCUUAUGCCGUUGAAUAUAUUAGCAUGGAAUAAUGAGAUAGGACCUUGGUACUAUUUUGUUGGUUUGCGCACCGAGGUAAUGAUUAAUAGGGACAGUUGUGGGUAUUCGUAUUCCAUUGUCAGAGGUGAAAUUCUUGGAUUUCUGGAAGACGAACUAAUGCGAANGNAUUUACNAAGGAUGUUUNCAUUA